Molecule: unclassified non-coding RNA, 310 nt
Filed under: Entoloma sp.
Lineage: Eukaryota; Fungi; Basidiomycota; Agaricomycetes; Agaricales; Entolomataceae
Description: partial internal transcribed spacer region
Rfam family: Eukaryotic small subunit ribosomal RNA (bases 1-46)
Source: RNAcentral
AAGUCGUAACAAGGUUUCCGUAGGUGAACCUGCGGAAGGAUCAUUAUUGAAUUAAAACUUGGUUGGGUUGUUGCUGGCUUUUAGAAGCAUGUGCACGCUCACUCCAUUUUUAACCACCUGUGCACACAAUGUAGGCCUGGAUGGAUUAUUCGAGGAAACUCGGUUUGAGAACUGUUUUCAGAGCUGUUCUUGCGUUCAGGUCUAUGUAUUUUCAACAUAUACCCUAUAACAAGUAAUAGAAUGUUCAUUUAUAGGCCUUUGUUGCCUUUAAAACCUAAUACAACUUUCAACAACGGAUCUCUUGGCUCUC